CACGUAGGAGACGAGCGUUAUCCGGAUUUACUGGGUGUAAAGCGCGUGCAGGCGGUAUGGUAAGUUGGAUGUAAAAGCUCCUGGCUUAACUGGGAGAGGUCGUUCAAAACUACCAAACUAGAGGACAGCAGAGGGGAGUGGAAUUCCGAGUGUAGCGGUAAAAUGCAUAGAUAUUCGGAAGAACACCAGUGGCGAAAGCGGCUCUCUGGGCUGAACCUUACUGUCAGACGCGAAAGCUAGGGUAGCAAACGGG
RNAcentral lists this ribosomal RNA (253 nucleotides) under uncultured bacterium. RNAcentral's name for it is "partial 16S ribosomal RNA". It matches the Rfam family "Bacterial small subunit ribosomal RNA", at positions 524 to 776 of the family's 1533-position model. The record is from RNAcentral.